UUAUGCUGAUAAGAGCGUAUGGUGGAUGCCUUGGCACUAAGAGCCGAUGAAAGACGUGAUAAGCUGCGAAAAGCUUCGGGGAGGAGCAAAUAUCCUUUGAUCCGGAGAUAUCUGAAUGGGGAAACCCGGCUGAGUAAUCCUCAGUCACUGUAUGGUAAAUACAUAGCCAUACAGAGGGAACCCGGUGAACUGAAACAUCUAAGUAGCCGGAGGAAGAGAAAGAAACAUCGAUUCCGGAAGUAGCGGCGAGCGAACCCGGAAGAGCCCAAACCAGCGUGCGUGCAUGCUGGGGUUAAGGACUGCAUAAGUGAGCCGAUCUGUUAAUGGAACUGCCUGGGAAGGCAGGCCAGAGAGGGUGAAAGCCCCGUACAUGAAAACGGUAGGCAGCGGCAGGAUCCAGAGUACCGCGAGACACGAGAAACCUUGCGGGAAGUCGGAGGGACCACCCUCCAAGGCUAAAUACUCCUUAGUGACCGAUAGCGCAUAGUACUGUGAAGGAAAGGUGAAAAGGACCCCGGGAGGGGAGUGAAAGAGAACCUGAAACCCUGUGUUUACAAGCUGUGGAAGAUCUUUAUAUGAUCAACCGCGUACUUUUUGUAGAACGGUCCGGCGAGUUACGCGUACUGGCGAGGUUAAGCACUUCAGGUGUGGAGCCGAAGCGAAAGCGAGUUUUAAUAGGGCGUUAAGUCAGUACGAGUAGACCCGAAACCGGGUGAUCUAUCCAUGUCCAGGUUGAAGUUGUCGUAAAAGACAAUGGAGGACCGAAGCCACAUCCGUUGAAAAGGGUGGGCAUGAGGUGUGGAUAGGGGAGAAAUUCCAAUCGAACCCGGAGAUAGCUGGUUCUCCUCGAAAUAGCUUUAGGGCUAGCCCCGUAUUAGUUUAGCGGAGGUAGAGCACUGAAUUCCUAAGGGGGCGUCAAAGCUUACCAAGGGAUAUCAAACUCCGAAUGCCGCAUAAAUGAUGUACGGGAGUCAGACUGCACGAGAUAAGUUGGGCAGUCAAAAGGGAAAGAGCCCAGACCUACAGCUAAGGUCCCAAAGUGUGUGUUAAGUGGAAAAGGAUGUGGGAUUUCAGAGACAACUAGGAUGUUGGCUUAGAAGCAGCCACACAUUCAAAGAGUGCGUAAUAGCUCACUAGUCGAGAGGUCCUGCGCCGAAAAUGUCCGGGGCUGAAACACAACACCGAAGCUCAGGAAUGUAUUUAUACAUUGGUAGAGGAGCAUUCUUAAAGGGGCGAAGCAGUACCGAUAAGGAGCUGUGGACUUUUAAGAAGAGAGAAUGCCGGAAUGAGUAGCGAGAUGGAGGUGGGAAUCCUCCAGGCCGAAUAUCCAAGGUUUCCAGAGUAAAGCUGAUCUGCUCUGGGUAAGUCGGGGCCUAAGGUAAGGCUGAGAAGCGUAGCCGAUGGACAACAGGUUGAGAUUCCUGUACCGCGUAUCAUCAGAACUGUGGGGACACAGAAGGACAGCACAUCCCGGGAAUGGAAAGACCGGGGCAAGCAGGGUAGGAGUUAAGCUGGCAAAUCCGCUUAACAAUCCGAAGCUGUGAUGCGGAGCGAAUUUAAGUAGCGAAGUGUGCGAUUCCGGCUGUCAAGAAAAGCCGCUAUUGUGUGAUACGUGCCCGUACCGUAAACCGACACAGGUAGAUGAGGAGAGAAUCCUAAGGCCGGCGGGAGAAGCAUUGUUAAGGAACUCGGCAAAAUGACCCUGUAACUUCGGGAGAAAGGGUGCCUGGGAAACCAGGCCGCAGAGAAUAGGCUCAAGCAACUGUUUAGCAAAAACACAGGUCUAUGCAAAACCGUAAGGUGAGGUAUAUGGGCUGACGCCUGCCCGGUGCUGGAAGGUUAAGAGGAGGGGUUAGCGCAAGCGAAGCUCUGAAUUGAAGCCCCAGUAAACGGCGGCCGUAACUAUAACGGUCCUAAGGUAGCGAAAUUCCUUGUCGGGUAAGUUCCGACCCGCACGAAAGGCGUAAUGAUUUGAGCACUGUCUCGACAAUGCAUCCGGUGAAAUUGAAGUACCAGUGAAGAUGCUGGUUACCCGCGCCAGGACGGAAAGACCCCAUGGAGCUUUACUCCAGUUUGAUACUGGGAUUCGGUACUGCACGUACAGGAUAGGUGGGAGACUGAGAACUAUGAACGCCAGUUUGUAGGGAGUCGCUGUUGGGAUACCACCCCUGUAGUACUGGGUUUCUAACCAGUCACCGUGAUCCGGUGAUGGGACAAUGUCAGGCGGGGAGUUUGACUGGGGCGGUCGCCUCCGAAAGGGUAUCGGAGGCGCUCAAAGGUUCCCUCAUAAUGGUUGGAAACCAUUAGAAGAGUGCAAAGGCAUAAGGGAGCUUGACUGCGACACCGACGGGUGACGCCCCUUCACCCCGCCCCCCGUUGCCCCAUCCGCGGUUUUUCCGAUAUUUCCCCCAUCAUGAAAACCGGCCCAAUAAAAAACCCGGCUUCCUUGCGGAAAGCCGGGUAUGGGAAAAAUGCCUCAGGGAAGAAGUUUUGGCGGGCGCCCUUCAAAAAUCCCGCGCUGAGGAACGAAAAUGCGGUCAUUGGGCUGGAUGGGAAUCGCCCUGUCUUUAAUGGAAAAAUAAUCAUACGUCACGGUUUUUCCACCGCGCGUCACCUGCACGUAGCGGGAUCCCCAGUCCGUGAUGUCGCCGGCGCCCACAAUCGCCUCCAGAAGCGUCAUGCCGCGCCGCCACAAAACAUUCUUCUUCAUAGCUACACCGCCGCUUACCAGAACGAU
This 2737-nucleotide ribosomal RNA is filed under the name human gut metagenome. RNAcentral describes it as "bacterial LSU rRNA". It matches the Rfam family "Bacterial large subunit ribosomal RNA", at positions 1 to 2461 of the family's 2925-position model. The record is from RNAcentral.